CUACGGGACGCUGCAGUGAGGAAUUUUGCGCAAUGGGGGAAGCCCUGACGCAGCAACGCCGCGUGAGUGAUGAAGGCCUUCGGGUCGUAAAACUCUGUCAAGUGGGAAGAACCUAUGUAAGGUUAAUACCCUUAUGUACUGACGGUACCACUGAAGGAAGCACCGGCUAACUCCGUGCCAGCAGCCGCGGUAAUACGGAGGGUGCAAUCGUUAUUCGGAAUUAUUGGGCGUAAAGGGCGCGCAGGCGGUUUUGUAAGUCAGAUGUGAAAGCCCGGGGCUUAACCUCGGAAGUGCAUUUGAUACUGCAAGACUUGAGUAUGGGAGGGGGGAGUGGAAUUCCUGGUGUAGAGGUGAAAUUCGUAGAUAUCAGGAGGAACACCAGUGGCGAAGGCGACUUCCUGGACCAAUACUGACGCUGAGGCGCGAAGGCGUGGGGAGCAAACAGGAUUAGAUACCCGGGUAGUC
This 465-nucleotide ribosomal RNA is filed under the name uncultured bacterium. RNAcentral describes it as "partial 16S ribosomal RNA". It matches the Rfam family "Bacterial small subunit ribosomal RNA", at positions 339 to 795 of the family's 1533-position model. The record is from RNAcentral.